This 283-nucleotide long non-coding RNA is filed under the name Elaeis guineensis (African oil palm). RNAcentral describes it as "long non-coding RNA (EGUI_LNC067258)". Lineage: Eukaryota; Viridiplantae; Streptophyta; Magnoliopsida; Arecales; Arecaceae. The record is from RNAcentral.
GCGUGUCUGGCCUCUGCGGAUCAUUCACACGAAACUCCCGAUCUGAUUGACUCCUCAUGAGUGCUAGCUCGUUGUAGAGCCCUUUUGACGGCCGAUGUAGAUCGAACUUCUUCGAUCGAUGUCUGUCAAUUCUUUAGAUACUCUGGAUCACCAACAGAUGUGCUUGAGAUGAUGUUGAAGAUCUCCCUGAGAUUUUGUGGGCUCAUGACACUCGUAGCUCACUUUCUCACUUCCCGAACCCCAGGCUAAAACUCUAGGGAACUCACUGAAAACCUUGCACCCA